CCGAGAUGUCUCGAAGAUGCUGAUGCAGAAGUGCCUGAAUGUCGGGAUUGUAUGCCUCGAUUCUAAGUCCUGAAGGGGGUGCAAAACAAACAUGAGUGGACCAAGUUUAUAUAUAGAUGUAUAUAUAAAUUAAAACAAUUAUCAACAUACUAACCUCGAGGUUUUAUGAAAACACAUAUAUAUCAUGAUAAACAUAGGUUUUUCAAAUCCUAGCAUGCCGUGCAAUGUCUUAAAUCAUAACUUGUAUAUAUAAUAAUCAUUAGUGAAUGUUCGAUAACUCUCCAGGCCCCAUGCCGGCUCCUCGUCCCUGUGCUAAUAGCCAGAAGAAAAACACUUCAGGCCCUAUGUCAACACCAUAACCGUCGCCCGGAACGGACCGAAAUCUAUCCAUUCGUCCCGUAGCGGAAUAAGGACCACUAGGUAAGUACAAAACCAUUGAACAUAUAUAUAUAUAUAUUGAAAAAAACAACUUCAUAGUAUAAAGUCAUUCAUCAUCUAUACUAUAAAGAGGUGUUCUAAACAUGUUCUAAAUAUCAUAUCGUCAUCCAUAAGAUAUUCUACAAGAACACGGGUUAUAGGAAAAAUAGUAAUAAUUCAAAAUAACCUCAGUAAGCAUGUUAUCUCAAAGCAUUUCAUAAAACGUAAUUGCUAAAUCAUGCUUUUCCAUGCAUGCAUUUCUACUAUUAAAACAUGCAUUUUAGAAAGGGUCCACUCACAUUACUUCAUUAUCGAAUAGUUCUGUUGCUAGCGAAGACAGAAACGCCACAAUAAAUGCACCUAAGCACAUAAAGGGUACAAUUAAUAAAACUCUAUUAUAACAAUUGAAUUUGGGAAAACAGACGUUGGAAAUAGAUUCAAGACGUCGAAUUACCCUAAGAAGGGUUCCGGUUAAAUUUCGUAAAAGUCCAUAGAAUAUUCCUUAGAAUAUUCCCUAACGGAAUAUUCCACAUAAAGGGUUUGGGCCGGUUAGGGUUUGGGGUUUGAAAGGUUAAAGGGUUUAGUGCUUAAGGCCUUAAGUUAAAAAUGUUUGGAUUAGGCUUUUAAAAAAGGGUUGGGCUUUAAGAGUGUGGGUUUAAUUUCAAACAAAUAAAAUAAAUAAAUAAAUAAAUAAAAGGGUUUCUAAUGGGUUUGGGCUUGAAAUAAAAUAAAUAAAAAUAAAAGGAUAUGGGUUGGGUUUUAAAGAGAUUAACGGGCCUGAGACCUGAGUCCUUUACGGCCCAAAGGCCUAAACUAACAAGGUUUGGGUUUUAGGUUAGGCUUUAAAGGGUAAUGCGUUUGGGUUUCAUUUGCUUGGGUUUAGGGAAUUGGUUUAGGUUGGGCUCGGCGCUGGUUUGGGCUGGGCUACCUUAGGCUGGUUCUUUGGCCCGUUUGUUAUGUGGGUUGCUGGAACCAAUUGAAGGAAAAUGCCGGAAUUUCGGCUAGAAAUUAGACAAACUUUAAACGCUCAUAACUUUGUCAAUACUCAAUGAAAUCGAGUGAUUCAAAAACGAAAAUCAUAGUUCUCGAAGAGACGAAGAGAAUGGUAUCUUGCACGAUGUCUAACUAGUCGUGGUUUGGUCGAAAAACACAUCGAAAGCCAUUGAGGUCGCUGGAAACUGAGUAAGAUUCAAAUAAGUAUAACUUCUUCAAUACUCAAUGAAAUUGGGUGAAACAAAAAGGAAAGUUGUAAUACUCAGCGAGACGAAGAGAUUGAUACCUUGCAUAUCAACCAACUCGUCGUGGUUUGGCCGAAAAGUGGCCUGAAAGCCACGGGUAUUUGCUGGAAUCUGGGUUUAGUUCUCCGAGGUGGUUUUCCUGUGUCAAAACGUCCCCAAGACAAUACCUAUUUUUAUUAAAACCACCAGAACGUUGAAAAGGAAAAAUGAGUGAUGGUAUUUCGAGCCUCACCUGGUCGGGAAUAGUAGAACUCGCCGGCGUGGGUGUGUUAAGCAUGUUUGGGUUGUCUCUGUGCUUCACAUAGGAGGAGGGAGAGAGAAAGGCCCAACGAUGGUGAUGCUGCCAUUGUGUGUUUGUAUGCUUGUGUGUGUGUGCGAUUGACGGUGAGGAGGGAAGAGUGAGGUCGAGAGAGAGGUGCAUAUAAUUUCGGGGAGAGAAAGAGAUAGAGCUUAAGAAAGAGUUAUAAAAAUAAAAUAAAAUAAAAUAAAAAAGAAAAGAAGAGAGGAAUCAGGGGACAAAUCAGGGGGUGGGCCCCCUUGGGCUCACCAAUUAAGACACAAAACCCAUUUUUAAAUAAAAACCCAAAACUACCUUUAAAAUCGGGGGGGUGGGGUGUAACAGGCAGGUUAGGCCUAGCGCCUAAGCGGGACUUAGGCAGACUAGGUGAUAAGCUCAUAUUUAUAUAUAUUUUACAUUAAAUUCACUUGUCUUUUCUUAGUUAGUUCCUUAUAUUUUUGAGCUAUUUACUUUUUUUUUUGUGUUUUGUGGGAUUUGUCAAGCAAAUAAAAGAAAAAUAGCACAAGUAGGAUUUUUAGUAAUAAAUUCGUCAAAACUGCCUGUGCAGAUCAGCUGACUUUGGAAGCAAGUUGCGAAUAGCUCAGAAUGAAUUAGAGAAUGAUCCUUAUGUGCUUGGAAAGCUACAGAUGUCUAUUGUCUGGAGCAUUUUGCGGAUUGUUAAUAUUAUUUUUCUAGAAGAAGUUAUGGCCUUUUUAACACUGAAAGGUUUCCAAGAAGCUGAGUAGUUUGUAACUGCAUUGAAGGCAAUAAAUCCAAUAAAACUAGCAGCCAAAACUGAUGCAGCCAAGAACAAGUCAGCUGACACCUAUUCAAAUAUCAGAGGAAAUGGAAUUAAAAAUGAGAAUUAAGAGGGAGUAAUUGACAUAAAGGCUACCUAAAGUGUUACAAUUGUUUUACCACAUUUCCUCUCACUUAUUGUCAUCACUAAAUGGCUGUUAGUGGGGUGAGUUAUGGAGCAGAAAUGGGGCAGCAAGCAUGGGCAUAAAGGUUGUAGGUUGCAGCAGCAAAAGGAGUUUUUUUAGAGAAAAAAAAAGAUAGAAAAAAAAAGAAGGAAAGGAAGGAGAAAGAGGACAAGGCAG
RNAcentral lists this long non-coding RNA (3032 nucleotides) under Malus domestica (apple). Its description in RNAcentral is "long non-coding RNA (MDOM_LNC015999)". Lineage: Eukaryota; Viridiplantae; Streptophyta; Magnoliopsida; Rosales; Rosaceae. The record is from RNAcentral.